CCGGCGACCGGCGCACGGGUGAGUAACACGUAUGCAACCUGGCCGCCACAGGGGGAUAACCCGCGGAAACGCGGCCUAAUACCCCGUGACGCCACCGGAGGGCAUCCUCCGGUGGCCAAAGGAGCGAUCCGGUGGCGGAUGGGCAUGCGGCGCAUUAGCUAGACGGCGGGGUGACGGCCCACCGUGGCGACGAUGCGUAGGGGUUCUGAGAGGAAGGCCCCCCCACACUGGGACUGAGACACGGCCCAGACUCCUACGGAAGGCAGCAG
RNAcentral lists this ribosomal RNA (269 nucleotides) under uncultured bacterium. Its description in RNAcentral is "partial 16S ribosomal RNA". It matches the Rfam family "Bacterial small subunit ribosomal RNA", at positions 88 to 354 of the family's 1533-position model. The record is from RNAcentral.